This 434-nucleotide ribosomal RNA is filed under the name Pseudomonas sp. 1xTSA12A_D09. RNAcentral describes it as "bacterial SSU rRNA". It matches the Rfam family "Bacterial small subunit ribosomal RNA", at positions 60 to 489 of the family's 1533-position model. The record is from RNAcentral. Lineage: Bacteria; Pseudomonadati; Pseudomonadota; Gammaproteobacteria; Pseudomonadales; Pseudomonadaceae.
AGUCGAGCGGUAGAGAGAAGCGUGCUUCUCUUGAGAGCGGCGGACGGGUGAGUAAUGCCUAGGAAUCUGCCUGGUAGUGGGGGAUAACGUUCGGAAACGGACGCUAAUACMGCAUACGUCCUACGGGAGAAAGCAGGGGACCUUCGGGCCUUGCGCUAUCAGAUGAGCCUAGGUCGGAUUAGCUAGUUGGUGAGGUAAUGGCUCACCAAGGCGACGAUCCGUAACUGGUCUGAGAGGAUGAUCAGUCACACUGGAACUGAGACACGGUCCAGACUCCUACGGGAGGCAGCAGUGGGGAAUAUUGGACAAUGGGCGAAAGCCUGAUCCAGCCAUGCCGCGUGUGUGAAGAAGGUCUUCGUAUUGUAAAGCACUUUAAGUUGGGAGGAAGGGCAGUAAAUUAAUACUUUGCUGUUUUGACGUUACCGACAGAAUAA